AGUGAACGCUGGCGGUAGGCCUAACACAUGCAAGUCGAACGGCAGCACAGUAAGAGCUUGCUCUUACGGGUGGCGAGUGGCGGACGGGUGAGGAAUACAUCGGAAUCUACUUUUUCGUGGGGGAUAACGCAGGGAAACUUACGCUAAUACCGCAUACGACCUACGGGUGAAAGCAGGGGAUCUUCGGACCUUGCGCGAUUGAAUGAGCCGAUGUCGGAUUAGCUAGUUGGCGGGGUAAAGGCCCACCAAGGCGACGAUCCGUAGCUGGUCUGAGAGGAUGAUCAGCCACACUGGAACUGAGACACGGGCCAGACUCCUACGGGAGGCAGGAGUGGGGAAUAUUGGACAAUGGGCGCAAGCCUGAUCCAGCCAUACCGCGUGGGUGAAGAAGGCCUUCGGGUUGUAAAGCCCUUUUGUUGGGAAAGAAAAGCAGCAGGUUAAUACCCCGCUGUUCUGACGGUACCCAAAGAAUAAGCACCGGCUAACUUCGU
This 491-nucleotide ribosomal RNA is filed under the name uncultured bacterium. Its description in RNAcentral is "partial 16S ribosomal RNA". It matches the Rfam family "Bacterial small subunit ribosomal RNA", at positions 29 to 506 of the family's 1533-position model. The record is from RNAcentral.